This is a long non-coding RNA of Thalassophryne amazonica, 104 nucleotides long. RefSeq lists it as uncharacterized. The record is from RefSeq and is a predicted model, not a curated record. Lineage: Eukaryota; Metazoa; Chordata; Actinopteri; Batrachoidiformes; Batrachoididae. The transcript has 3 exons.
AUCAGCACCCACUAAAUUUCUUUUGACCUUGAUAAAUCAUGUUGCCUGUACAAACAUCACCCAUUUGCAUGUUUCCUCCCAUAAUUUUACUGAAGACUGUUGUG